RNAcentral lists this ribosomal RNA (416 nucleotides) under uncultured beta proteobacterium. RNAcentral describes it as "bacterial SSU rRNA". It matches the Rfam family "Bacterial small subunit ribosomal RNA", at positions 201 to 601 of the family's 1533-position model. The record is from RNAcentral. Lineage: Bacteria; Pseudomonadati; Pseudomonadota; Betaproteobacteria.
GAAAAGCAGGGGAUCGCAAGACCUUGCGCUUUUGGAGCGGCCGAUGCCUGAUUAGCUUGUUGGUAAGGUAAAAGCUUACCAAGGCUUCGAUCAGUAGCUGGUCUGAGAGGACGACCAGCCACACUGGGACUGAGACACGGCCCAGACUCCUACGGGAGGCAGCAGUGGGGAAUUUUGGACAAUGGGGGCAACCCUGAUCCAGCCAUGCCGCGUGAGUGAAGAAGGCCUUCGGGUUGUAAAGCUCUUUCAGCCGGAACGAAACGGUUACGGUUAAUACCCGUAACUAAUGACGGUACCGGAAGAAGAAGCACCGGCUAACUACGUGCCAGCAGCCGCGGUAAUACGUAGGGUGCGAGCGUUAAUCGGAAUUACUGGGCGUAAAGCGUGCGCAGGUGGUUUGUAAGUCAGAUGAAAGC